UUUCGCCGCGUACGUCGGCAGCCGGAGGGAGCCGACGCCACGGGGAGCUCCGCGACGUCGAGGUGCACCUUUGCCACCUAUCCUCUUCGCGAAGGCCCCACCGGAGCACCGCCAUGGCGUGAAGACCCGUGCCGCCGCCGAGUUUCUUCGCCAUCCGCCGCCGGCCGGAUUCCGGGCGCCUCCGUCUCCCUCCGUCGCCGGUGAGCGCGUCUACGACAUCCCCUCGACCUCCUCUUCCAAUUCCCAACCUCGCCGUUGGUCCUCGCCGCCCGGAGCACCGGCAAGCCGGCCGGCCAAGCCCCCCGGGGGAGAUUGAAGAAGACCUGGCAGUCUUGCAGUUUGGCCCAUGAAAGACUUGGUAAUUACUCCAACGAUUUCUGUGUCUUGUUUCUUUUGCAGACAGACCCCCGAAAACCUUAGAUCCUUUGCAAACCAGUCCUACCCGAGAACUUUUACAGAUCUAACCCUGAACAUAGAUCUAUUCGCGAGAACCGUUCCAUGAGUCUUGUGAAUCUCCCUUGCUAACCCCUAAGUAUAUGGUUAAUCACGACUAGGUCCUUGCAACCUUGCUUAGUUCAUAGAAUCUAUGCUUUAACUUCGUUUAACCUCGUUCAGUUUGCGUUAGGUUCAUGAUGAUAUAAAUUACACGUUAGUGUUGAUGUUUUCCUUCAUGAAUGUUUUUGAAAAUAAAUUUGAUAUUAAUUUGUUUAAUGUCUACUUCAUAUCCUUUUCUAAAUAAAAGCCAAUUAGGUUAUAUAUCGGUUUUUCAUGAAUUAAAGUUAAUUUGAUUAACGCUUAUAUAAAUAAUUCUUCCAAUUAAAAGCUAAUUAGAGAUAUACCUCGCCAUUUCAUAAAUUAAAUUAAAUUUGAUUAAUGUUUAUUCAAUUUGCUUUCUAAAUAAAAGCUACAUAGGUUAUAUCUUGAGUUUUCAUAAAUUAAAUAUUAAUUCGACUCAUAUGAAUAUAAAUGUGUUUUUUAAAAUAAUCUGCUAGUCAAACUCGAAAUAUAAAGUUAUGCGCUGAGAUGGUUUUACAUGCUUCUUCUAAACUCAAAUGUUAAUUUACAUAAAUUGUACUUAAAUAUUUAUAAAUAAGAUUGGACUAAGCUUUGCAUCAUCUUUUCUUAUGAAAAUAUAAAUAUGACUUGAUUAAUUCUAACUAUGAAUAUUUCUCUGAAAUAUCUUUACAUUGCUUUUCUCAACUAAAAUAAAUGAAGCUUGUAGCUCUUAUCGUUCUUUUAUAAUUCAAAACUCUCGAUAGUUUUAUCUUUUCAACCAUAGUUCUGUUCUCAGCGUUUCCUACGUUCGAGUAAUCCUAGAAUCGAGCCUUGUCCUUUAGUACGCUCUUUUAAAGUCUAUCUUUUAUUUUGGUGUAUUGUUCUUAGUUGUACUUGUUUGUUGCUUGUAUGUUUGUGCCGAUGUUCUUAGAAUCGAAGAAGGAUCGUUGUUCGAAAGAUUUGAAGAUUAAGAGUUUAAGAGAACAAGAGCUGAAGAGUAGUAAGAGUAACUUUUCGUUGGAGCAAGGCAAGUGUCCUUAACCAACCUUCUACCUACGCUUUGUUAAUAAUAUCAUGAUAAUGUUAAUUGGAACAUGGAAAACUACCCAGGAAAACCAUGCUACCAUAAGAAUAAAUGGCUCUGGUCUUAGCUGAAUAAUUAGAAACUCUAGUCUGGGGUAAUCUUACCGAAAGGGCAAGAGGGGAGGCGUUGAUGGGGUAUAGCACUCGUUUUCUUGGGAAGUGGGCUUUGCUAAGACACUGUACCCACAAGGGGACUGUUGUGCUCUAGUUCGGCCUGAAGCCUUAGCGGGUUACCACUUACUAGCGAAUCUUUGUAAAGACCUCGUAGCGUCCCUAUGCAAUCACACCUCGGAAGUGUGGUAUGGUGCCUAGCUAGCACCGCAUGGUUGGGUCCAAAGUUCUUUGAACUUUUACGCGACUUGUGGGUAAAGAUGUGCAACCUCUGCAAAGUGUAAAACUGAUCGAUCAGCCGUGCUCACGGUUAAGCGCGGCCUGGACCCUCACAUGAUUAAUUAAACUUGAAUAUGGACUCAAAUCGUUAUUCUAGUUAUUUCUAGUGGGCUUGCUGAGUACCAACCAUAAGUGUACUCACCCUUACUUACUGCUGCUCAGAAGGUGUGUGAAGUAUUCUAGAGACGAUGCUGAGUUCUAGGUGUACCCAACCCCCAGUCGAUUGCCUGUGAAGUUUGGGACCUCCGUUUCCAGGAUUAAGCUGUGUAUCUCUGAUGGUUUCAUAAGUCUUCAUUUGUGUUCUUUUACGUGAUAUUGUUAUUCACUGAUAAUGUCACUAUAUGUAUGAAACUAGAUCCUGGCAUACAUAUAGGUAGCACUUGGUUUUGUCCUUAAAAUCGGGUGUGACAUAAACUUUAGCAGUUAAACUUUGUUAAACUUGAGUUGCUAAACUUUAGCCAUGGCUGUUUGGAUCCAUGAGUAAAACAACCUUUAAUGAGGUGUAGAAAGACAUGUCUGCUCUUAUUUAAUGCGAGGGGGGAGAGAGAGGGUCCAGAAGAGGAUGUCCAGCGCCAAGUUUAGCAAGGUUUAGCAACCAAAAAGUUUCUAAAGGGCUAAAGUUUAGCAAAGUUUAGCAAGGAUGUUUGGCAAAUUUGUUGCUAAACAUUGUUAAACUUUAGCUGCUAAAGUUUAGCAAGGGGUAUCCAAACACCCCCUUAUAUUAGAUUACUUCCUUCCAGAUCCGGGAUCUCCAAGCAUUUUCCUGAAAACCUCAACUGUCUAUCUGGCAUAACCGCCAUUCAAACACUGCUGUGGAUACCAACACGCAAAGCUAAUUUAACCCGCGCUCACCCCUUUUCUUCUCAGCGCUCAAUCCGACCGGUCGCCUCCCCACGUGUGUGGACCCCACGAUCUUUACUCCGCAGAACCCAGCAACCUCAUCCACCACUUGUUCAUCUUAUCUCUUUUCUCCUCAUGAAAACAGAAGCACACCCAACCGGCGAGCGGCAGCACAUAGGCCGACAGUGGCUUGGUCGCGUGCGCGGGAAGUGAGGUUCCCCUUGCCCUUCCCUUUCUCCACCGGGAAGUGGCUCGGGCUCCGCCCGCUGCGCGCUGCCGUGUGCGAGAAGCAGAUGCGCGAGGGUGGCACCAGGCGAUGCCACACUUCAGGUGGAGGAGAUCUCCAGCGACGAAUCGAGUGACGGCGCCACAACGAAGGUUGGGCGCGGCGGCGGAUUCGUCGGGAAGGAGUUUCUCUGACGGCGGAUCUAGGCGGAGCUUUUUGAUAGAGGUGGGAGGAGUUAUACAAUGAGUUUUCUUAAUUUUUGCUCUUUUUUUUUGCUGAUUUUGCUUCCUGGUAUUUCUUUCCAAAAGUUAGGAAUACAACUUUUUCUCCUAACUUUUGCCCACAAUUUCUGUUUUCCUUCGAAUCUGAUUCCAAAGUUCUAUCUAUAACUUUUUAUUUUUUGAAUUAUGUUCCUAACUUUUGUUCAUAAUUUAUGUUUCCUUCAAAUUUGGUUCCAAAGUUGUCUCUAUAACUUUUGUUUUUAGAAUCAUGUUCCUAACUUUUGCUUCUGUUUUUUUCUGAAUUUUGUUUCUCAUAUUUUUCAAAGAGUUGUUACCUAAAAAAAAUUUGUCUACAAAUUUCUUAUACAAAUUAUGUGUGCAUAUUUUUAAAAAAAAAUGUUGUGUAUAUAACUUCUACACGUAUGUUUUUGUCCAUAUUUAUAGUAUUUUUUUAUAAGGGCUACUUUGGAAGGACGUGGCUGAUUAGCCCAGGGCACCCUUCCACCAGAGAGAUUUGUUGCCCCCUCCCCCCGGUUGCUAUUUGGAAGCUCUGACAUGGGGCAUGCACCACAGGGAGGGAAUAUAUAUCUAGCGGGAGGAAUAAUAAUAGCAAGAGAUACAAAUAGUAGUGACGAUAUAUACUUUGAUGAUGAUAUAGUGAUAAAUCAACCAAACUUUAGUCCACACAAAUGGUACAAUAUCAUAAUACAUCCAGCUCAUGUAAAAGAUAAAAAGUUGCAGAUUUCUCGGCAUGUUUAGUCACAAAACUACACUCUUUAACUUAACCAUUGAUACGAUACGAGUUUUUUUUAGUAAAAGAAGCUAAGGAUUUUCCCCCAAUCAUUCUCUUCUUGCCUCUUGGUUCUCCUCAACACUCAUAAAUUCUGUCAAAUAAACAAUAAAAUAAAAAUUGAGAUUAGUGUUGAGUAGAUGCAACCAGGUGCAAAGUAUGUUACACAUAUUUCUUAUUCAACGCUCCAUCAGUUUCUACAAAACCAUGUGGAGCUAUCAAAGCCAUAAAACUAGGCGGUACAAACAGUUCCAUACUUCUUGAAUAGCAUAAGUACCACAAUAGAAGGUGAAGCAAUACAUGCUUUGAAUCUACGUAUUAGGAGGAGUAGCAAAACUAGAACAAAAGGUUGGUCAUGGACGGCUAGGCUGAUAUUAGAAAGCAGAUAGCAGAUUACCAAAGAAAGGAAAAAAAUAUGUGAAUCAUCUCUAAUCUAUGCAGAAUUGUUCGGUAUGGUAGUGCAACCACUAAAUAACAAGUAUGGUAGUGCAGAACAAAGAAAAGUGCAACAGUUCACCAAAGUAUUCAAGCAAAGCACAAACAAGUCACUAGAAUACGGCUAAGUUACCUUGUUGAAAUAUAAACGGUGGCUACCAACCGGAAACAAAGGCCAUUUUGGGUAAAAGAAAAUAUGAAUUAUUUGCACACACAAAAUAUGCAUUGGAAUUCAAGCACACAUAAAAAAAUAUGUCGAAGUUCAGACUCAAAAGUCACGAAAUGUCAUGGCUGCUGUUGGAACCAUAGUUCUUUCAUUCUUCAAAAGUUCUGUUUUGUUUCUUCCAAAUGAAAGUUUUCUCCCACCAAAAGAAAAGAUAGUUUUCCAAAGGACUAAAGUAUACUUUCUCAAAUAUGCUUACAGUAUGCUAUGAACUGACAAAAGAGAAAGCAGUACUCUCUCACAGAGGAUAAAAGGAUGCAUACCAAUUGUCAUGAGGUAUCUAUGUUCAGAGUUAACAUUUGAUUCAAUAACUAAGAGAGAACUUGUUUGACAAUAUAGUGAUUAGUGAGAGUGAGUGUAAAUAAAACCACAAGCCAACAACACAGAGAUAGCUACUAUAAUUACAAGCAAGUUUACAAUAGUGUACUCACAGUCGCUGCUUAUCUAGAAACAUAGUUACUGUGUCAGAUCUAGUAUACUAAUCUGCAAAGAAAGAAUUCCACAUUAUACACUCCAUGUGCUUGGAUUUUUUAUGUAAUCAGUAGAACAUCCAGUUCAGCUGGAGAUUUGUUCAAAUUACUUGAGCACCUGGAUGUACCUAUGCUUAAUCAAUAGAACAGUGUGCUCUAGAUGUACCUGUGUUCCAGAGAAUAAUUUAACCAACAGGUAGCAAUAGGUUAAGAGGACUGACAUGAGCAUCCAAAUUAAAACAUUGAUGCUUGCAGGCAAGUAAACAUGGUUUAUACAUACCGCAAGAUUACACAUAAUUCAAAAACAGGUGGCAAUAGAUUAUACGCAUGCAGAUAGUGGGUAGAGCAGCCACAUAAUUAAAAAAAUCCAAUAAUAAGUAUAUGAAGCAGACAAGGACAUGAUUUAUACAUACUGCAAGAGUAUACAAUUGUUGACAAUAGCUUUAAAAAAAGAAUAGCCACAUGCAACAUUCAUAGGCUGACCUAAGUAUCUUCAAAUUACCUAAGCAGAUAAAACAAUAUUGACUUCAAGUCUGAGCUAAAGUGACAAACCAUUAAAGCACUUGGAUAUACUGAUUACUGAACCAUUAAAACACUUGCAUGUGAAAUGGAUGGAAUCUGCCUGCAGCACAGGUGAAAGAAUGGAGAUGUAAUGAAAAUUUGAACUUCUGCUACAAUAAUUGUACAUUCAAACUGUUAUAAUACUUUAUUUUGCAGUAAUUUGUGGACCUGAAUUCCUUCUAGAAUCGGUGGCACACAAAUAUGGAAAAACGGGGUGUACCGAAUGUCUAAACUUCUGCUAAAAUGAUUUUGCACAUUCAAACUAGUAAUACUUUGCAUCAGUUUGGACGCAUUGAAAUGCGCUCUCGAACAGAAGUAAGCUUCAUAUUCAAGUAACCCUCUACAUGCAUGUGAAACAAAUAAGACCCUGCAAACUCAAAUCACAAGGACACAAGUUAAGAAACAUCACAACAGAUGUGCAUUCCCAUCUGCGAAUGCAAGUGGUCUCUACAUUAGGGAGGUGCAGCACAACUAGAAUUCAAAUCAAAGUUCCGACACAAGCAUGGAGAUGCUAACUUCAAGAAGUCACAACGUAGGCACGACGAGUACAAAUCCUAGGCAAACCCAAGGCAACAGUUGAGGAGGAAGCAGAGAGAACUCACAUCAUGGAUGCGGAGGCGGCGGCUGAGCUAGAGAUCUCGUAGGUCAAGAUGUCCACGGUGGCCGUGACAAGACGGCAAGAGACGGAGCCGCGUGGCUAGGACGGAGACACGGUGCGGCCAAGACGGAGGAUGCACGGAGUGGCUGGGACGGAGAUGGAGCGCACGGCUAGGAUAAAGAUGGAGUGCACGGUCGGGACAGAGAUGGAGCGGCGCGGCCUUGACGGACGUGGCUGGGACGACGGAAGCAGAACGACGGAGGCGGAGCGGUGCGGCCAGGAUAGAGUGGCGCGGAGGUGGAGCAGAAGGGAGCCGCUCAGGGAAGAGACGCCCAGACUCGAGAGGUGGGAAAGUGCUGCCCCGAGGAAAAUGCGUGGAUAGGGUUCUCGUACCCUCGGGUGUGGACUUCUAAAGGGAGUGUUGAUUUAGCCCGUGCCCAAUUUUCCGCGUGGGCUUUCAGCCUAGGGAAAAGGUCGGAUUUCUCGCGGGAUCUGGGUUCCCAAAUUAGACCUAAAGGGUACGGAGGGGGACGAGUGGUCCCGACAUCCUGUCUCAAAACGUUUGUUAUGCCUGAUUAGUCCUCCCGAUACCGACAACAAUUUGUCUCUGCCAACGCCGUCUAUGCCAAGGCUACGUGACAUCUCUCGGGAACAAUAAUCCAAACGGAUUUGAUCGACGAUCUGGAGAUCCAUGAGGUCAUAUUUUUAUCAAAUUCCGUUUUCCAAAUAAGGAUGGUGGGUUCCAAUGGAUUUUAUUUGUGCGUUUGUUAUGGGGCCACGGUACCUAAAUUUAACGAAAGUUUUGUGAAAUUUGUCCAAAUUUAUGUUAUUUUUGUCAUAGAUAAGUGACGUUUUGGAAUUAUAUUGAGUUAACCAUCUCGAACUUAUAGAUUACUAUCUUCUUUUAUUUGCUUUUUUUUACUGAACACACAGGAUACAUGCAAACGCUAACAAAACACGCAUGCAUAUUAACCCUAUCUCUAUUGGCAGUGGAAUUUGUGGUGUGAUACCUUUUAUGGAGACGAAACCAGCUAUUUUCAUUACUUAAUCAAAAUAAUAACAUUGUUUGUAUAUAAAAAACUAAUAAAUAAUUAAUAUUAUGAUUUUACUUUUUAUUUUGAAACUAAAGGUAGGAGCACUGCCGCAUCAUUUAAGAACAAGUUGCCCCGUAUCAAUUGAAAUGAGGCCAAACCAUAUAGAGCUCAAUUAAUUAGGGAAACUGAGAAAAAACCACACACAACGCUUGCAACACCUGGCUAAACUAGGCCUAGCACCGCAGUAGAAGACUUAACUACCUAGCUGAACUAGGCCUACAAUGUUCGAAAUCGUAGUCGAAUCCAAACAAAACAAUACAAUGUCGGAUCAAAGCUUGCAGCCGCGCAACCACCAACAUGUAUGGUUGGAUCUCCAAAGCAAUGUCUUCAAGAAGAACACGACGUAAAUAGCGUCAUCGUCGCCCGUCCGGCGAACCAAAGUAGAUUUUCAUCUGGAGAACCACCAGGCCAUACAGAAGCACCACGACAACACCUUCAAGAAGGGAAAUGACGCCUAAGGGCGUCGUCGUCGCCGACGCCAGCACGAGGCAAGCAAGGCUUUCGCCAGGCGCUCCUGCAUGGGUGGGUGCUCACGCCCCAAGAGCAAGCCACGAGCGGCAGCAUCGACGAAGCGCCGCUCGCCGCCUACUGCUUGGCAGCGUCAGGCCAAGGCGCAUGCCGACCCUCCCCCCCCAGACCGCCUGUGGCGGCCACCAUGGAGGGGGCGCUACACCAAGCUAGUGCCAUGCCCAUGGGUAAGCACGGUAGGGCCGGAUCCGGCUCAGCUCGGGCGAAAUCCGGCAAUCUCGAAGCACCACGAGGCGAAGUAUCGAUGGACACCGAGAGGAGGCGCCCGACCACACAAGCAGCUGCAGACUGCACCCAUGCCGUAGACCUGAAGCGCCAGUGCGAGCAAGUGCCACCGCAACAAUGGAGAGCAGCUCGAGAUCUGGAUCUGCGAAAUACAAGAUGGAGAGGAGAAGGAAGAUGGGAGAGGGAAAAGAGGAGGGAGGGGAGCGGGAGAAGGGGAGGGCCGCCGCCACUGCCCAGGGCUGGCGACGACGGCGGCCUGCUAGGCUGCUGCUUGGGGGCGGGCUGCAGGCGGUGGGUUUGCCCCCGAGUUGCCUCGAUGGAGACGACACGGGGGAGAGGUAGGGGCUGUUUGGGAGGCAUAGGCUAAACUUUAGCUCCUGUCACAUCGGAUGUUUGGACACUAAUUAGGAGUAUUAAACAUAGACUAAUUACAAAACUAAUUACAUAACCCCUAGGCUAAAUCACGAGACGAAUCUAUUAAGCCUAAUUAGUCCAUGAUUUGACAAUGUAGUGCUACAGUAACCAUUUGCUAAUGGUGGAUUAAUUAGGCUUAAUAGAUUCGUCUCGCGAUGUAGCCUAGGGGUUCUGCUAUUAUUUUUAUAAUUAGCUCAUGUUUAGUCCUCCUAAUUAUCAUCCGAACGUCCGAUAUGACAGGGCUAAACUUUAACCCCUGCUAUCCUAACACUCCCGUAGAGUCUCCGCCACUCCGCCCCUUCUUUCUCCUCCAAUAUGCAAUGCUAUGAUUUUACUCCUUAGCCCUUAGGGUUUCAGGAAGUCCUAAGUCCAUCAGGUCCAUUUCGCUAGGUGGCAUUUCAAAGCUUUGUUGCCACUUGUUUUGCCAGGAAAGGAAAAACGUGUUUGCUUUUCUUGUCGUGUUCUCUCGGGGCCUGCUCAAGCGACUUGUUGCUUGCUGCAGCGGGUGAACCAAAUUGGCUCUCUGCGGCAUGCAAGGCAAAGUUCACUUGUUAAAGCAAGGCGAGGCAAGGAUUGCUUUGUAACCGAACAUGUCCUUAGUUGUGAGUUUUUUCUUUCACAAUAAAGACCAAAUCUUGUGAAAUUUCAUUAAAAAAAACCUUUGAUCCGCGUUUCUAACUGUUUGUUGAGUAUUUUCAAUCUUGGCAAAUGCUUAGCAUGAACAUAAGAUGGGAGUGCUCCAUUGGAAAUAAAGUAGUACAAAUUUUUUGUUAAAAAAAACACUCGUCCUAUACUUAAGCUAGAACCUUCGCACCGUGAGUUGCUUUUUUAUAUAUUUUUUUCUCAAGCAGCCGACAAUUUUUUAUUUACUUCGGUUAUUCCUAGGGUGAAUAUAAAUUAGCACAAAGAAAUCUCCGACCAACAUUUUCCAACCAUAAAAGAUCGCAAGCUCUUCUCAGUUCUCUCGUCAUUUGGGAAAUAAAUAGCUGUCGAGAAAUGUCCCAAUUUCAUCUAAAAAAAUCCUAGCUUGGUCAUUUGAGAAAAGUACAAAGAAAUUCAAUAACCACCAACCAUGACCAUUCUCUAAAAAACACUUUGGAGAUCAUGUACUGUAAGUGCGUAGCGGAAUUUUAUUUGUAUCUCCUCUUGGGAUGUGGACUUCGAGCGAGCCUUGACUUUUUUUUAGAAAGCCAGCUCUUCUCACGACUGCGAUAGUGAAACUGCAGGUGGCAGCAUGCCUUUCAGGAAGGAGUAGAAGAGAACUAACGAUCUCUUAGGCUGG
Molecule: long non-coding RNA, 9875 nt
Filed under: Setaria italica (foxtail millet)
Lineage: Eukaryota; Viridiplantae; Streptophyta; Magnoliopsida; Poales; Poaceae
Description: long non-coding RNA (SITA_LNC001427)
Source: RNAcentral